GAGGUAACUCAUUGGUAGAGUGCUUAUCUAGCAUUCAUGAGAUUCUAGGUUCAAUUCCCAGAACCACA
This 68-nucleotide transfer RNA is filed under the name Marmota monax (woodchuck). Its description in RNAcentral is "tRNA.Ala". The record is from RNAcentral. Lineage: Eukaryota; Metazoa; Chordata; Mammalia; Rodentia; Sciuridae.